Oryza sativa Japonica Group (Japanese rice) is the source of this 1994-nucleotide non-coding RNA. Lineage: Eukaryota; Viridiplantae; Streptophyta; Magnoliopsida; Poales; Poaceae. The record is from RefSeq and is a predicted model, not a curated record.
UGUCAAAAAGUUAACGGCGUCAUACAUUAAAAUACGGAGGGAGUAUUACACAUUGGAUCACUUUUUUGUUUGCCGCUCGUUGAUUUCAUUAGCGAGUUUACCCACAGCACAAUAAACUAAUGAAUAUUCCAUCUGACCUUGAUUUCUUUACUCCUUGAUUUAGUUGCUUGUCUUCUACCAUAUUUCCCCUUAAAUAAUCAUGUGAGCUUAGAACAAGUCACUGUAUUGAGCUUGCAGGCGACAGCUACAGCAGCCAGCUACCACCAGGCUUGAUCUUGUCGGUUCCUCAAGCUCGGGAACAGAGCAGAGAGAGAAGGAAUCCUGGUGCUUUGUUUGAUCAUCCCUCAGUCAGAUCCAUGGCGCAGCUGCUUAAUAGAGAAGAGGAGGAAAGAUUGAUGGAGAAGAAGGGUGGUCCAAUUUGAAACUUUUAUAAAUUUAUUAGUCCAAAGUUGCUCUUAGCCACCAGCGCCGUUCCAAGCCUCGUUCAGUCGUUCCUGCGAGCCCUACCGUGUGCUCACGACGCCACCAGUGCUCACGACGCGCGCGCGUCCGCAUAUGGCCACCGUCUCCGGCACCGACCGCCUCCGUGACCUCCACGCCUUCGACGACACCAAGGCCGGCGUCAAGGGCCUCGUCGACGCCGGCGUCACCACCGUCCCCUACUUCUUCCGCCACCACCCCGACCCCCUCCCCGUCGCCGCGCCAAGGCCGACGUCGACCUCGCCAAGGCCGACGUCGACCGGGGACGGGUGGUCGCCGAGGUCAGGGCGGCCGCGGAGACGGUCGGCUUCUUCCAGGUGGUCAACCAUGGCGUCGCCGGGGAGCUGAUGGAGGAGAUGCUCGCGGCGGUGCGGCGCUUCCACGAGGAGCCCCUGGAGGCGAAGGUGCCGUACUACACCAGGGACGUCGCCAGCAAGGUCUGGUUCAACUCCAACUUCGGCCUCUUCCGUAACGGGUUCCGUUCGCCGGAGGCCAACUGGCGCGACACGAUGUUCGUUGAGAUGUUCCCGGAGGCGCCCUCGCCGGAAGAGAUCCCGCCGCCGUGCAGGGGCGUGCUGGAGGUGUACGCCGCGGCGGUGCGGCGGCUCGGGGAACGGCUGUUCGAGCUGCUGUCGGAGGCGCUGGGCCUCCCCGUGGGGUACCUUGGCCGCGACGCCGGGUGCAUGGACGGGCUGAGCCUGAGCGUGGCGGCGCACUACUACCCGGCGUGCCCGGAGCCGGAGGCGACGAUGGGCGCGACCAAGCACUCCGACCCCAGCUUCCUCACAGUGCUGCUGCAGGACACCUCCGGCGGCCUGCAGGCGGUGCUCCCGCGGCCUCCGGAGGAGCGGUGGGUGGACGUGCCCCCGGUGGCCGGCGCGCUGGUGGUGAACGUCGGCGACCUCCUCCAGCUGGUGUCGAACGACAGGCUCCGGAGCGUGGAGCACCGGGUGCUGCCCACCGGCGCCGCGGGGCCGGCCCGCGUGUCGGUGGCGUGCUUCUUCCGCCACGCGUACGCGUCGACGAGGCCGUGUGUCCCGGUCGUCGUCGGCGGCGGCGGGGCACGGGCGGCGGCGGUGUACAGGAGCACGACGGCGGGGGAGUUCCUGGCGCACUACAACGGCAAGGGGCUCGACGGGCGGUCGGCGCUGGACCACUUCAGGCUUCCGGCGGCGGCGUCGUCUCCUCCUCCUCCGCUGUAGCUGGCUGGAUGAAUCCAGAGCUUCACGACGGAUGAUGGUCGUACGUCGUACGUGGCGAUUUGGCAAACCAUUCAACAUUUACGUCAAUGCUUAAUUAUUGGUUGGUUGGAUGAUGGGACAAAUGCAGAUAUACAUAUGCCCAGAUAUAUAGCGCGUUAAAACUAGUGAUUUGUGCUAAUAAAUGUUAGAUCCGAUCCCCGUAUUUAAUUUCUUGUGAUUUUGGGUUACAGUACUAAUACAUAAUAAGCAACAGCAGGGAUUGUGUAUACAGUCACUACAACGUAAUCGAUUUUUGAGCAUAAGAUCCCUUAA